CCCAAAUGAAAACAAAUACUUUGAUGGGUCCGGUGCACCGCGGUGGUACAGGUGAGUCUAGGACGCAAAGCAAAGCCGACGCGGAAACUUUUGUGAGCCAAACAGCAGCAGCGGAACGCCUUCGAAGGAGGGUGGUGCGGGUGCGGGACAAAGCCGAGUCAAGGGUCGAGUGCUCGAAAAGGACAAGACCAGCUUCCUGCAGAAACUACAGCUGUUCCAGGACCGGAAUGGGUAAGAAGGAUUGGAGCUAGGAAUGUGGAUCCGCACCGGUUGUAUUCGGUGCGCGUGGCCCGGGCUUAGUGGUAAAGGUCAAUUCUCGCGAGGACUGGGGCGAGAUUAUCGAGGAGAUGGCGCUGCCGAAGCGUUGCAUGAACAACGAGGUUGCAUUGAAGAAGAUUAACGUUAGGUUUUGGACAAGUACGAGAAAGUUAAUAUUUACAGUGAGGAGAAAGAUCCGACUAAGAGGAGGACGACGAGAAGCGAAAUAAUCGGAGGUGGUCAGCGCAGAUGUUGCACUUGGUGCCGGCGUAUUACAACAACGCAACUUUCCACCCACAAACGACUAA
Molecule: long non-coding RNA, 566 nt
Organism: Culex quinquefasciatus (southern house mosquito)
Lineage: Eukaryota; Metazoa; Arthropoda; Insecta; Diptera; Culicidae
Exons: 3
Source: RefSeq, a predicted model, not a curated record